This 253-nucleotide ribosomal RNA is filed under the name uncultured bacterium. RNAcentral describes it as "partial 16S ribosomal RNA". It matches the Rfam family "Bacterial small subunit ribosomal RNA", at positions 524 to 776 of the family's 1533-position model. The record is from RNAcentral.
GACGGAGGAUGCAAGUGUUAUCCGGAAUCACUGGGCGUAAAGCGUCUGUAGGUGGUUUAAAAAGUCCACUGUUAAAAAUUGAAGCUUAACUUCAAAGAUGCCGUGGAAACUUUUAAACUUGAGUAUGGUAGGGGUAGAGGGAAUUUCCAGUGGAGCGGUGAAAUGCGUAGAUAUUGGAAAGAACACCGAUGGCGAAGGCACUUUACUGGGCUAUUACUAACACUCAGAGACGAAAGCUAGGGUAGCAAAUGGG